This 274-nucleotide ribosomal RNA is filed under the name uncultured bacterium. RNAcentral's name for it is "partial 16S ribosomal RNA". It matches the Rfam family "Bacterial small subunit ribosomal RNA", at positions 523 to 796 of the family's 1533-position model. The record is from RNAcentral.
AUACGGAGGGUGCAAGCGUUAAUCGGAAUUACUGGGCGUAAAGCGUGCGUAGGUGGUUUGUUAAGUCAGAUGUGAAAGCCCCGGGCUCAACCUGGGAACUGCAUUUGAAACUGGCAUACUAGAGUAUAGGAGAGGAAAGUGGAAUUUCAGGUGUAGCGGUGAAAUGCGUAGAUAUCUGAAGGAACAUCAAUGGCGAAGGCAGUUUUCUGGACUAAUACUGACACUGAGGUACGAAAGCGUGGGUAGCAAACAGGAUUAGAAACCCUAGUAGUCC